AAGCGGAGGGUCGCGGCAGAGCAGGGGAAGCCAGGUAGGCCGUUGGGCCACAGUCCCGAUGGUGGUGGUGGUGGUGACAAAUGCGAAAUGAAAAAAGAAGAUGAAGUAUAGCAGGCAAGCCAGCAAACAAGCAACAAUCGGAGGCAGUCGACAGGGUAGACAUUCGAGUGUACAGACACAGAAAACUGGAUUCGGUUGUAGAAGAUGAUGAGAAUUCGUCGGGGUGGUUGAGAGCGCGCACACAUAUAUAACCAGCACACAUGUACGCCAGCUGUAGCCUCGUUUUCCUGCGACAGUGUGUAUCUGUGUGGUGACGUUCGUCGUUUGUUUCUUUCCAACCCCAAACCAUGCGAUAGCGAGCACAGGCCAUCGCAGUCACACUUGGGGCUCGAUUGCGUUGCUUGUACUGCCAUUCCACUCGCACCCGCGAUUUUCAGUAUAGAGAAAAGUUAUCGCUGUGUUGCAUGGGUGUGAGAGAAAACUGGUUUCGCAUGCCCCAGCUGCCCGCGUCGCGCCGCCGGCCCCGCAUUCAACCACACCAACACCAACACAUGCGCACUUCAUUUUGUUUCGCAGCGCUGCCGCUGCCACUGCCGCUGCUGCUGCUGCUGCUACCGUGUGUUCCCGCUAUCGUCUGCGCGCGUCUCAGUCCUAAAAUCCACUUGGCAGAGUUCGGUAUUCGGUAUUCGGUCUGUGCCUCGACUCCGCGCGCAAUCACGGGAAUACGAGUACGCUGUUGCUGUAUGCCGUUCCAUUUAUAAUAACGAUACUUUUUUAAAUUUUUUAUAAUGCAACGCAGAACUAGUGUGUGGCUAAGAAGAAGUGAAUGCUAAGGCAACAAAACAAAAGAAAACCCAUGAUGUCGCGAAACAAAUGUGUGUGCAGGCGACGCGUCGCUGCCGACGUAUACAGACAGCGGGAAAGUGUAUUGUGAGAGUGUAGCCGUGGAAUAAAAACAACAAUCUCAUUAAUGCUGAGCGGCGUCUAGGGUUGUCGCCGUUAUAUUUUUUAUAGCGGACACGCAAACAGCAUCUUCCUCACAGUCAAGAGGAGCCACUACGCUACCCCUCAAGGACACAUCGAACAUCAGCGAGAAGCCGC
This 1101-nucleotide unclassified non-coding RNA is filed under the name Drosophila pseudoobscura pseudoobscura. RNAcentral describes it as "GA22280". The record is from RNAcentral. Lineage: Eukaryota; Metazoa; Arthropoda; Insecta; Diptera; Drosophilidae.